UGGGGAAUUUUGGACAAUGGGGGAAACCCUGAUCCAGCCAUCCCGCGUGUGCGAUGAAGGCCUUCGGGUUGUAAAGCACUUUUGGCAGGAAAGAAACGUCGCGGGUUAAUACCCCGCGAAACUGACGGUACCUGCAGAAUAAGCACCGGCUAACUACGUGCCAGCAGCCGCGGUAAUACGUAGGGUGCAAGCGUUAAUCGGAAUUACUGGGCGUAAAGCGUGCGCAGGCGGUUCGGAAAGAAAGAUGUGAAAUCCCAGAGCUUAACUUUGGAACUGCAUUUUUAACUACCGGGCUAGAGUGUGUCAGAGGGAGGUGGAAUUCCGCGUGUAGCAGUGAAAUGCGUAGAUAUGCGGAGGAACACCGAUGGCGAAGGCAGCCUCCUGGGAUAACACUGACGCUCAUGCACGAAAGCGUGGGGAGCAAACAGGAUUAGAUACCCUGGUAGUCCACGCCCUAAACGAUGUCAACUAGCUGUUGGGGCCUUGCGGCCUUGGUAGCGCAGCU
This 505-nucleotide ribosomal RNA is filed under the name uncultured bacterium. RNAcentral describes it as "partial 16S ribosomal RNA". It matches the Rfam family "Bacterial small subunit ribosomal RNA", at positions 355 to 853 of the family's 1533-position model. The record is from RNAcentral.